RNAcentral lists this ribosomal RNA (468 nucleotides) under uncultured bacterium. RNAcentral describes it as "partial 16S ribosomal RNA". It matches the Rfam family "Bacterial small subunit ribosomal RNA", at positions 28 to 507 of the family's 1533-position model. The record is from RNAcentral.
GACGAACGCUGGCGGCGUGCUUAACACAUGCAAGUCGAACGGAAAGGCCCUGCUUUUGUGGGGUGCUCGAGUGGCGAACGGGUGAGUAACACGUGAGUAACCUGCCCUUGACUUUGGGAUAACUUCAGGAAACUGGGGCUAAUACCGGAUAGGAGCUCCUGCUGCAUGGUGGGGGUUGGAAAGUUUCGGCGGUUGGGGAUGGACUCGCGGCUUAUCAGCUUGUUGGUGGGGUAGUGGCUUACCAAGGCUUUGACGGGUAGCCGGCCUGAGAGGGUGACCGGCCACAUUGGGACUGAGAUACGGCCCAGGCUCCUACGGGGGGCAGCAGUGGGGAAUAUUGCACAAUGGGCGGAAGCCUGAAGCAGCAACGCCGCGUGCGGGAUGACGGCCUUCGGGUUGUAAACCGCUUUCGCCUGUGACGAAGCGUGAGUGACGGUAAUGGGUAAAGAAGCACCGGCUAACUACGUG